CCUACGGGUGGCAGCAGUGGGGAAUAUUGCACAAUGGGGGAAACCCUGAUGCAGCGACGCCGCGUGAGUGAAGAAGGAUGUCGGGAGGUAAAGCGCGAGCAGCAGGGAAGAAGAAAGACGGGACCGGACGAAGAAGCCCCGGCUAACUACGUGCCAGCAGCCGCGGUAAUAAGGAGGGGGCAAGCGUUCUCCGGAUUUACGGGGGGUAAAGGGAGCGGAGACGGCUGGGCAAGUCUGAAGUGAAAGCCCAGGGCUCAACCCUGGGACUGCUUUGGAAACUGUGGAGCGAGAGUGCUGGAGAGGUAAGUGGACUUCCUCUUGUCGCUGUUAACUGCGUCGAUAUUAG
RNAcentral lists this ribosomal RNA (346 nucleotides) under uncultured bacterium. RNAcentral's name for it is "partial 16S ribosomal RNA". It matches the Rfam family "Bacterial small subunit ribosomal RNA", at positions 338 to 700 of the family's 1533-position model. The record is from RNAcentral.